AUGCCUCUUAAAGUUAAGGCAAUCUCUUGGUUAGUAAUCAAAAAUAGGAUUCUAACCAAGGACAAUCUGAGUAAAAAAGGUUGGAAAGGUGCUAAGUUUUGUGAAUUUUGUGACUGUGAAGAGAGUGUGAAUCAUUUAUUUUUCUCUUGUUCCUUAGCUAAGUUCCUGUGGAAUAUUGUGGGAUGUGCUCUAGGGAACCAGAGAGCUCCAAUGUCUUUUUACGACCUAUGCCAGAACUGGUUGUCUAGCUAUACUGGCAAAGAUAGAGUAGUUUUUUUAUUGGGUACUGCUGCUCUCUUGUGGUCUAUAUGGAAAACAAGGAACAAAUCAUGUUUUCAAAGUGUUAUGCCUAGAGAUCCUACUGACAUUAUCGUUCUUGUUUGUUCCCUACCUGACUCUUGGAAAAAUCUGCAGAAAAGAGGGGUGCAAAGCAUGCUUCAUCAGGUGUCUAGACGUAUCGUGAGGGUGACUCGUGAUAUCUUCAAAGGAGGGCAUGGUUUGGCGCCGCAUGUGAGAAGGAUUUUGUGA
Molecule: ribosomal RNA, 528 nt
Filed under: Triticum aestivum (bread wheat)
Lineage: Eukaryota; Viridiplantae; Streptophyta; Magnoliopsida; Poales; Poaceae
Description: partial small subunit ribosomal RNA
Source: RNAcentral